Molecule: ribosomal RNA, 476 nt
Filed under: uncultured bacterium
Lineage: Bacteria
Description: bacterial SSU rRNA
Rfam family: Bacterial small subunit ribosomal RNA
Source: RNAcentral
AACCACCGGCUAACUCUGUGCCAGCAGCCGCGGUAAUACAGAGGGUGCGAGCGUUAAUCGGAUUUACUGGGCGUAAAGCGUGCGUAGGCGGCUUUUUAAGUCGGAUGUGAAAUCCCCGAGCUUAACUUGGGAAUUGCAUUCGAUACUGGGAAGCUAGAGUAUGGGAGAGGAUGGUAGAAUUCCAGGUGUAGCGGUGAAAUGCGUAGAGAUCUGGAGGAAUACCGAUGGCGAAGGCAGCCAUCUGGCCUAAUACUGACGCUAGAGGUACGAAACGCAUGGGGGAGGCAAACGAGGAUUAGGAUACCCUAGGUUAGUCCAAUGCCGUUAAAACGAAUGUCCUACUUAGCACGUCUGGCGGCCCUUUGAAGGCUUCUAGUGGCUGCAGCUAACGGCGAUAAAGUAGACCGCCUGGGGGAGUACGGUCGCAAGACUAAAACUCAAAUGAAUUGACGGGGGCCCGCACAAGCGGUGGAGCA